Long non-coding RNA from Apodemus sylvaticus (European woodmouse), 335 nucleotides. RefSeq lists it as uncharacterized. Lineage: Eukaryota; Metazoa; Chordata; Mammalia; Rodentia; Muridae. The transcript has 3 exons. The record is from RefSeq and is a predicted model, not a curated record.
CUUUAACCACUUGGCCACAUUGUGCCCUGACUCUCAGAAACUGUGCUCCUUUGUAAAUUGUGAUGUGUGGCUUGGCUUUUCAAAAAUAACUCUGCAGGGUCAUUGGCCACCCGGCCACGAGGACAAAGGGAGCAGAAUCGAUGAGCAGGGUUUCAGAUGGCUGGUCAGUAUGAAUGGAAAUGAUGACACAUCCCAGGAUCAACUUCUGGGAAACAGAUCAACUUUAAUCGGGGUACAUGAGUGUCACAGUUAACCAGUGGAGAUCAGAGGAAAAUUUGCAGAGCUGGUUCUUUUCUUCCACGUUUACACUGGGGAUCCCAGGAUCUUUAUCAAGC